This 74-nucleotide transfer RNA is filed under the name Bacilli bacterium. RNAcentral's name for it is "tRNA-Trp". It matches the Rfam family "tRNA". From Rfam's summary of the family: Transfer RNA (tRNA) molecules are approximately 80 nucleotides in length. Their secondary structure includes four short double-helical elements and three loops (D, anti-codon, and T loops). Further hydrogen bonds mediate the characteristic L-shaped molecular structure. tRNAs have two regions of fundamental functional importance: the anti-codon, which is responsible for specific mRNA codon recognition, and the 3' end, to which the tRNAs corresponding amino acid is attached (by aminoacyl-tRNA synthetases). tRNAs cope with the degeneracy of the genetic code in two manners: having more than one tRNA (with a specific anti-codon) for a particular amino acid; and 'wobble' base-pairing, i.e. permitting non-standard base-pairing at the 3rd anti-codon position. Lineage: Bacteria; Bacillati; Bacillota; Bacilli. The record is from RNAcentral.
AGGGGUAUAGUUCAACGGUAGAGCUGCGGUCUCCAAAACCGUCGAUAUGGGUUCGAAUCCUAUUACCCCUGCCA